Transfer RNA from Ovis aries (sheep), 72 nucleotides. It matches the Rfam family "tRNA". Rfam says of the family: Transfer RNA (tRNA) molecules are approximately 80 nucleotides in length. Their secondary structure includes four short double-helical elements and three loops (D, anti-codon, and T loops). Further hydrogen bonds mediate the characteristic L-shaped molecular structure. tRNAs have two regions of fundamental functional importance: the anti-codon, which is responsible for specific mRNA codon recognition, and the 3' end, to which the tRNAs corresponding amino acid is attached (by aminoacyl-tRNA synthetases). tRNAs cope with the degeneracy of the genetic code in two manners: having more than one tRNA (with a specific anti-codon) for a particular amino acid; and 'wobble' base-pairing, i.e. permitting non-standard base-pairing at the 3rd anti-codon position. The record is from Rfam. NCBI's taxonomy places the organism in Eukaryota, Metazoa, Chordata, Mammalia, Artiodactyla, Bovidae.
UCCCUUGUAGCUCAGUCGGUAAAGAAUCUGCCUGCAGUGCAGGAGACCCAGGUUCGAUCCCUGGGUUGGGAA